RNAcentral lists this long non-coding RNA (266 nucleotides) under Nicotiana benthamiana. Its description in RNAcentral is "long non-coding RNA (NBEN_LNC019721)". The record is from RNAcentral. Lineage: Eukaryota; Viridiplantae; Streptophyta; Magnoliopsida; Solanales; Solanaceae.
UGCCAUACCUUGCUUCUAGCAAAGCAACAUAUCCACUGAAGUUCAACAUUCCAGCUGCAUAUUGUUCUAUUAUAUCCCAGCCAAUAGCAAAUUCUUUGCCAAAGAUUCCUAGUAACUGGACAGGUGAAGUAAAGAUGGCCAAACUCUUCUACAGCUUGAUGACAGAACACACACUGCUCCUCCACACUAACUCCAAAUUUCAAUAGUCUAUCAACAGUGGGAAGUCGACCCUGAGUAGCUAACCAUGUAGUGAACAGAUGCCUUGG